Molecule: small RNA, 559 nt
Filed under: Pan troglodytes (chimpanzee)
Lineage: Eukaryota; Metazoa; Chordata; Mammalia; Primates; Hominidae
Description: processed transcript
Source: RNAcentral
GGGGGACAGCGGCAAGCACCGCUGCCGCCCCAUCCUCAGAGCUCCCUCUCCGCGCUGCCCCAGGAGCACCUUCUCCCGGGCCCUUCCAGGAUGUGCUCAUUUUUACUACAUAAGCUUCUAACUGUGCCCACGCGCAUUGGUAACCCCCAGCUUUUAAUCAGUGGGUACCAGUUUUUAGGAAUCAACUACCCAGGAAAAACGAUUUUUACUCAUAUGAGCCACCUUCUGAGAAUCCUCCCCCAGAAACAGGAGAAUCAGUGUGUCUCCAGCUUAAGUCUGGUGCUCAUCUCUGCAGGGUUUGUGGCUGUUUAGGCCCCAAAACGUGCUCCAGAUGCCACAAAGCAUAUUACUGCAGCAAGGAGCAUCAGACCCUAGACUGGAGAUUGGGACAUAAGCAGGCUUGUGCACAACCAGAUCAUCUGGACCAUAUAAUUCCAGACCACAACUUCCUUUUUCCAGAAUUUGAAAUUGUAAUAGAAACAGAAGAUGAGAUUAUGCCUGAGGUUGUGGAAAAGGAAGAUUACUCAGAGAUUAUAGGGAGCAUGGGUGAAGCACUUGA